Molecule: long non-coding RNA, 1109 nt
Organism: Esox lucius (northern pike)
Lineage: Eukaryota; Metazoa; Chordata; Actinopteri; Esociformes; Esocidae
Source: Ensembl
GGGAAAAAGUGGAACCUUGUUUCAAUGAGAGAUCAUUGCCCUUAGAAGUGGUGAGAUAAGCUUUCUAGACUUCUCCAACCACAACCACCUUCAGUCUCCAUAAGGCAGCUCUUAACAAUACUUGACAAACUUAGCAUCAGCAGACAGUUGCGCCAAUACUCUGAACAGUUAAGAGGUAAUACAUAUAUAUAUAUAUGGUAGAGUGCGCUACUCUCAGUGAUCUAAGGAUGUUAUUUUUCUAUUAGGCAGUAUGGGGCAAAUUACGGGUCACGUUGCAGUAAACUUAGUUGGGCCAUUACUGAUCAGCAGGUUUUUCAAUGACUAAGUUUAGAAGGAAGAGGCAGAGCAUAGCACAGCGAUGCUAGGUAGCUGAGAGCAGAGUUAAGGAAUGUUUUGAACAGUUAAAGCUGCAGCAGGACAGGAUGUAUGACUGUUAGCGUGUUAGCGGGUGGUUGGCGGGAGAGGGGAGGUGGUUCACCUGAAGAAGAUAAGCAUAGUUUAGAUUGAGGAUCUGUGGCAGAGGAGAGGAUCAAAUGUUAAACUCUAUUGUUUAGCUGUUGAUAAUGUCCACUUCUUGUCAUCGUAUUGAUGGGCUAUAGAUCCAAGUUCUUAAUGAACCUGAGAAACUACUAGGAUUACUAAAAGAAAAGUAAAAUUAUUAUUUUACUCUUUAUUACAUUCAGGGGAUGUCUUUUUUUCUUCAUGGCAAUUAUGAAAUAGUAAUCUGAUUUGAACAUGUGUAGUAUUCAAGAUGGCCUGGUUCCUUUUAAUAGUUCUGAUAUAAAGUGCAAAACUAGAUUGUAUUUCUUGCAAUUUCCUGGAAUAUUUAGAUAUUUAGUAAAAAAGUCAUGUAAAAUACACCAAACUUGUUUUUAUAAAGGUAAAGAUAAGAAAAUCCUCAUUAACAACAUCAAACAGCAAGGAGCCGUCCUCUAUGCAGAAAAUAUAUACAAGAGGCACCUGAAAUUUGGUAUAAAGUAUUCAGCUAAAGACAUUUCUGUUUUUAGAAUAACCUUAAUCUCUGAGAUUCAGUUGACAGAUCAGACGACUAUCAAGAAUGCUAGUUGAAGUAAAAAAACUAAAAUGUAAGUUCAUGAGUUUCUUCUCUU